AGCAUAUCAAUAAGCGGAGGAAAAGAAACCAACAGGGAUUGCCCUAGUAACGGCGAGUGAAGCGGCAACAGCUCAAAUUUGAAAUCUGGCUCUCUUUGGGGGUCCGAGUUGUAAUUUGCAGAGGAUGCUUUGGCAUUGGCGGCGGUCUAAGUUCCUUGGAACAGGACAUCACAGAGGGUGAGAAUCCCGUACGUGGUCGCCUGCCCUUGCCGUGUAAAGCUCCUUCGACGAGUCGAGUUGUUUGGGAAUGCAGCUCUAAAUGGGAGGUAAAUUUCUUCUAAAGCUAAAUACUGGCCAGAGACCGAUAGCGCACAAGUAGAGUGAUCGAAAGAUGAAAAGUACUUUGGAAAGAGAGUCAAAAAGCACGUGAAAUUGUUGAAAGGGAAGCGCUUGCAGCCAGACUUGCCCGCAGUUGCUCACCUAGGCUUUCGCCUGGGGCACUCUUCUGCGGGCAGGCCAGCAUCAGUUUGGGCGGUUGGAUAAAGGCCUCUGUCACGUAUCUCCCUUCGGGGUGACCUUAUAGGGGAGGCGCAAUGCAACCAGCCCGGACUGAGGUCCGCGCAUCUGCUAGGAUGCUGGCGUAAUGGCUGUAAGCGGCCCGUCUUGAAACACGGACCAAGGAGUCUAACAUCUAUGCGAGUGUUUGGGUGUCAAGCCCGAGCGCGCAAUGAAAGUGAACGGAGGUGGGAACCCUUUGGGUGCACCAUCGACCGAUCCUGAUGUCUUCGGAUGGAUUUGAGUAAGAGCAUAGCUGUUGGGACCCGAAAGAUGGUGAACUAUGCUUGAAUAGGGUGAAGCCAGAGGAAACUCUGGUGGAGGCUCGCAGCGGUUCUGACGUGCAAAUCGAUCGUCAAAUUUGGGCAUAGGGGCGAAAGACUAAUCGAACC
RNAcentral lists this ribosomal RNA (887 nucleotides) under Paraphaeosphaeria sporulosa. RNAcentral's name for it is "LSU rRNA". It matches the Rfam family "Eukaryotic large subunit ribosomal RNA", at positions 37 to 941 of the family's 3401-position model. Lineage: Eukaryota; Fungi; Ascomycota; Dothideomycetes; Pleosporales; Didymosphaeriaceae. The record is from RNAcentral.